UACGGAUCAAUAGAAGUCGUAGUCCUCGUAGGAUCUUAAAUCGUAGAAAAUUGACUAAUCGACGAUUAUUCUUCUCAUUCGACUAUGAUUGGUUAAUUUUCUACGACUUAAGACCCUACGACUGCUACGACUUUUGUUCUAGACUUUUGUUCUCCGCAUUACGUAUUCGAGAUUUAAAAAAUAAUCUUACGAUAUUACAAACGGAAACAAUUGAUGUUCAAAUAUUAAAGUGCUUUUACAUAACUCGUAAAUCGCAAAACGAAGUUCGCAAAUGCAGAGACAGAAUAAAGAUUUGCGUUUGUUUUUUCAUCGCAUACAGUUAGUUUUCAUCUAUGUGUGUUUUGCGUGCGAUGAUCAUCAUUCUGUUUCAGCAUUUACUCAGCACGAACUACGUUUUGAAUUUGCGAAUUAUAUAGAGACAUCCUUAAGGUCAACAAUUAAAUCAAAUACGGACGUCGGACACGCACGAUCCAACCGACCAAUAACUAUCCCAGUGAGAGGUGUAAGUUCGUAACGACCACCCUCGCAAACCGCAGAGAAUUCCCAAAAGGCUUGGAUCUGUGACGCAGAAAACCGCAAGAUUCGUAUCGUCCGAUGUGGACAUAGACAAGCUCUAUCUUGGGAAAACACUUCCGAAAUACGAUCAGAAUGAAAUCACUAAUUUGUGAUUUCGGAUCUGUCUGGAAUAACCGUAUCGAGGUGCAAUCUAGAAUUUCUGUGUGAGCGAGACGCAUUAUUUACAAAAUAGAUAUAUUGUUAAAGGGACACGGCGGAAAAUGAAAAUAAUGACAAUACAAUGACUAACACGGCCUGUUAUUACGAGUACACCAGUGGCAAUGUAACGGAUGGCAGCGUAAUCUAUUGGCCGGCUUUGUCCUUGCCCUCGAGGAAGUUGGCGAGCUUCCAGGUUCAAAGGUACCUCGUCGUUGGACCGAUCUCGGCGUCGCUCGUUACGAUCACAAACGACACAAUUGGGAAACCAAAAUAGAAUCAGCUCACCGUUCCAGGUAUACGGUUCACGAAUUAUAAUAA
This is a long non-coding RNA of Acromyrmex echinatior (Panamanian leafcutter ant), 1032 nucleotides long. The record is from RefSeq and is a predicted model, not a curated record. Lineage: Eukaryota; Metazoa; Arthropoda; Insecta; Hymenoptera; Formicidae.